This 292-nucleotide long non-coding RNA is filed under the name Elaeis guineensis (African oil palm). RNAcentral describes it as "long non-coding RNA (EGUI_LNC053612)". Lineage: Eukaryota; Viridiplantae; Streptophyta; Magnoliopsida; Arecales; Arecaceae. The record is from RNAcentral.
UGCAAGAAGAUAAGUGGGAGUCCCACUAAACUUCUUGGUUAUGUAUGUGGGUGACAUACAGCACAUUGGGAAGGUAGUCCCGAUAUUACACUCGAUCAAUAAUAUGCUUAUCACAAAAGUUUUCAUGGAAAAGACUUGGGUUAAGCAUCCAAUAUUUUUUGGCAUCUAUAGGGAUAGAUGUAAGUGGAUGCUGGGCUUGUCCCAAUCUAAGUACAUCAAAUUUAUGUUGAAGGGGUUCAACAUGAAUGGGUGUAAAAGAGUUUACUUAUCUAUAUAUUCAAUGUACCAAGCC